RNAcentral lists this ribosomal RNA (480 nucleotides) under uncultured bacterium. Its description in RNAcentral is "partial 16S ribosomal RNA". It matches the Rfam family "Bacterial small subunit ribosomal RNA", at positions 28 to 507 of the family's 1533-position model. The record is from RNAcentral.
GACGAACGCUGGCGGCGUGCUUAACACAUGCAAGUCGAACGAUGAAGAAAAGAAUCGAAGCUUCGGCAGAAAUUCAUUUCGGAUUAGUGGCAGACGGGUGAGUAACGCGUGAGCAACCUACCUCUUACAAAGGGAUAGCCUCGGGAAACCGGGAUUAAUACCAUAUAACAUUGCGACGAAGCAUUUCGAUGCAAUCAAAGCUACGGCGGUAAGUGAUGGGCUCGCGUCCCAUUAACCGGAUGGUGAGGUAACGGCUCACCAUAGUGACGAUGGGUAACCGGGCUGAGAGGGUGAACGGUCACACUGGAACUGAGACACGGUCCAGACUCCUACGGGAGGCAGCAGUGGGGAAUAUUGCACAAUGGAGGGAACUCUGAUGCAGCGACGCCGCGUGAGUGAUGAAGGAAUUCGUUUCGUAAAACUCUGUUCUAUGGGAAGAAAAGGACUGUACCAUAGGAGAAAGCUCCGGCUAAAUACGUG